CUACGGGUGGCUCCAGUGGGGAAUCUUAGACAAUGGGGGAAACCCUGAUCUAGCCAUGCCGCGUGAGUGACGAAGGCCUUAGGGUCGUAAAGCUCUUUCGCUGGGGAAGAUAAUGACUGUACCCAGUAAAGAAACCCCGGCUAACUCCGUGCCAGCAGCCGCGGUAAUACGGAGGGGGUUAGCGUUGUUCGGAAUUACUGGGCGUAAAGCGCGCGUAGGCGGACUGGAAAGUUGGGGGUGAAAUCCCGGGGCUCAACCCCGGAACGGCCUCCAAAACUAUCAGUCUAGAGUUCGAGAGAGGUGAGUGGAAUUCCGAGUGUAGAGGUGAUAUUCGUAGAUAUUCGGAGGAACACCAGUGGCGAAGGCGGCUCACUGGCUCGAUACUGACGCUGAGGUGCGAAAGCGUGGGGAGCAAACAGGAUUAGAUACCCCAGUAGUC
Molecule: ribosomal RNA, 439 nt
Filed under: uncultured bacterium
Lineage: Bacteria
Description: partial 16S ribosomal RNA
Rfam family: Bacterial small subunit ribosomal RNA
Source: RNAcentral